Molecule: long non-coding RNA, 223 nt
Filed under: Daucus carota (carrot)
Lineage: Eukaryota; Viridiplantae; Streptophyta; Magnoliopsida; Apiales; Apiaceae
Description: long non-coding RNA (DCAR_LNC006123)
Source: RNAcentral
UCUAGCUUCUUUAAUUUCUUUCUCUCUUUUUGUAUCAACCGAAGAAGCUCGUGUAUUAGACCCAUAGCUUUGUUAAUUAUUUUUCUUCAAAGCAUCACCCACAGGCCAAAAGACCAACGGUAAAGAAGCCGAGUCGAAUCCUAAAAUAUCGUAUAUUACUCCUCCAUUCCAAAUUAGAUGAACUCGUUGACUUCGGGCACGCACUUUAAAAUUUAUUGACCGC